Molecule: transfer RNA, 76 nt
Filed under: Podarcis lilfordi (Lilford's wall lizard)
Lineage: Eukaryota; Metazoa; Chordata; Lepidosauria; Squamata; Lacertidae
Description: tRNA.Asn
Rfam family: tRNA (bases 9-69)
About the family: Transfer RNA (tRNA) molecules are approximately 80 nucleotides in length.
Source: RNAcentral
CUUUUUGCAUGGCACAAUGGGUCAGUGCCUCUGGCUGUUAACCAGAAGGUUGGUGAUUCAAGCCCCCCUAGGGAGG